UACGUAGGUGACAAGCGUUGUUCGGAUUUACUGGGCGUAAAGAGCGCGCAGGCGGUCGUUCAAGUCGAGUGUGAAAGCCCCCGGCUCAACUGGGGAGGGUCAUUCGAUACUGAUCGACUCGAAGGCAGGAGAGGGAAGUGGAAUUCCCGGUGUAGUGGUGAAAUGCGUAGAUAUCGGGAGGAACACCAGUGGCGAAGGCGACUUCCUGGCCUGUUCUUGACGCUGAGGCGCGAAAGCUAGGGGAGCAAACGGG
RNAcentral lists this ribosomal RNA (253 nucleotides) under uncultured bacterium. Its description in RNAcentral is "partial 16S ribosomal RNA". It matches the Rfam family "Bacterial small subunit ribosomal RNA", at positions 524 to 776 of the family's 1533-position model. The record is from RNAcentral.